GGGUUGUGAGGUUAAGCGACUAAGCGUACACGGUGGAUGCCCUGGCAGUCAGAGGCGAUGAAGGACGUGCUAAUCUGCGAAAAGCGUCGGUAAGGUGAUAUGAACCGUUAUAGCCGGCGAUGUCCGAAUGGGGAAACCCAGUGUGAUUCGUCACACUAUCGUUAACUGAAUACAUAGGUUAACGAGGCGAACCGGGGGAACUGAAACAUCUAAGUACCCCGAGGAAAAGAAAUCAACCGAGAUUCCCCCAGUAGCGGCGAGCGAACGGGGAGCAGCCCAGAGUUUGAAUCAGCUUGUGUGUUAGUGGAACGGUCUGGAAAGUCCGACGGUACAGGGUGAUAGUCCCGUACACCAAAAUGCACAGGCUGUGAACUCGAAGAGUAGGGCGGGACACGUGGUAUCCUGUCUGAAUAUGGGGGGACCAUCCUCCAAGGCUAAAUACUCCUGACUGACCGAUAGUGAACCAGUACCGUGAGGGAAAGGCGAAAAGAACCCCGGCGAGGGGAGUGAAAAAGAACCUGAAACCGUGUACGUACAAGCAGUGGGAGCACCUUCGGGUGUGACUGCGUACCUUUUGUAUAAUGGGUCAGCGACUUAUAUUCUGUAGCAAGGUUAACCGUAUAGGGGAGCCGCAGGGAAACCGAGUCUUAACUGGGCGUUAAGUUGCAGGGUAUAGACCCGAAACCCGGUGAUCUAGCCAUGGGCAGGUUGAAGGUUGGGUAACACUAACUGGAGGACCGAACCGACUAAUGUUGAAAAAUUAGCGGAUGACUUGUGGCUGGGGGUGAAAGGCCAAUCAAACCGGGAGAUAGCUGGUUCUCCCCGAAAGCUAUUUAGGUAGCGCCUCGUGAAUUCAUCUUCGGGGGUAGAGCACUGUUUCGGCUAGGGGGUCAUCCCGACUUACCAACCCGAUGCAAACUACGAAUACCGAAGAAUGUUAUCACGGGAGACACACGGCGGGUGCUAACGUCCGUCGUGAAGAGGGAAACAACCCAGACCGCCAGCUAAGGUCCCAAAGUCAUGGUUAAGUGGGAAACGAUGUGGGAAGGCACAGACAGCCAGGAUGUUGGCUUAGAAGCAGCCAUCAUUUAAAGAAAGCGUAAUAGCUCACUGGUCGAGUCGGCCUGCGCGGAAGAUGUAACGGGGCUAAACCAUGCACCGAAGCUGCGGCAGCGACACUAUGUGUUGUUGGGUAGGGGAGCGUUCUGUAAGCCUGCGAAGGUGACCUGUGAGGGUUGCUGGAGGUAUCAGAAGUGCGAAUGCUGACAUAAGUAACGAUAAAGCGGGUGAAAAGCCCGCUCGCCGGAAGACCAAGGGUUCCUGUCCAACGUUAAUCGGGGCAGGGUGAGUCGACCCCUAAGGCGAGGCCGAAAGGCGUAGUCGAUGGGAAACAGGUUAAUAUUCCUGUACUUGGUGUUACUGCGAAGGGGGGACGGAGAAGGCUAUGUUAGCCGGGCGACGGUUGUCCCGGUUUAAGCAUGUAGGCUGGUUAUCCAGGCAAAUCCGGAUAAUCAAGGCUGAGGUGUGAUGACGAGGCACUACGGUGCUGAAGUAACAAAUGCCCUGCUUCCAGGAAAAGCCUCUAAGCAUCAGGUAACAUCAAAUCGUACCCCAAACCGACACAGGUGGUCAGGUAGAGAAUACCAAGGCGCUUGAGAGAACUCGGGUGAAGGAACUAGGCAAAAUGGUGCCGUAACUUCGGGAGAAGGCACGCUGGUGUGUAGGUGAAGUCCCUGCGGAUGGAGCUGAGACCAGUCGAAGAUACCAGCUGGCUGCAACUGUUUAUUAAAAACACAGCACUGUGCAAACACGAAAGUGGACGUAUACGGUGUGACGCCUGCCCGGUGCCGGAAGGUUAAUUGAUGGGGUUAUCCGUAAGGAGAAGCUCUUGAUCGAAGCCCCGGUAAACGGCGGCCGUAACUAUAACGGUCCUAAGGUAGCGAAAUUCCUUGUCGGGUAAGUUCCGACCUGCACGAAUGGCGUAAUGAUGGCCAGGCUGUCUCCACCCGAGACUCAGUGAAAUUGAACUCGCUGUGAAGAUGCAGUGUACCCGCGGCAAGACGGAAAGACCCCGUGAACCUUUACUAUAGCUUGACACUGAACAUUGAGCCUUGAUGUGUAGGAUAGGUGGGAGGCUUUGAAGCGUGGACGCCAGUCUGCGUGGAGCCAACCUUGAAAUACCACCCUUUAAUGUUUGAUGUUCUAACGUUGGCCCCUUACCGGGGUUGCGGACAGUGUCUGGUGGGUAGUUUGACUGGGGCGGUCUCCUCCCAAAGCGUAACGGAGGAGCACGAAGGUUAGCUAAUCCUGGUCGGACAUCAGGAGGUUAGUGCAAUGGCAUAAGCUAGCUUGACUGCGAGCGUGACGGCGCGAGCAGGUGCGAAAGCAGGUCAUAGUGAUCCGGUGGUUCUGAAUGGAAGGGCCAUCGCUCAACGGAUAAAAGGUACUCCGGGGAUAACAGGCUGAUACCGCCCAAGAGUUCAUAUCGACGGCGGUGUUUGGCACCUCGAUGUCGGCUCAUCACAUCCUGGGGCUGAAGUAGGUCCCAAGGGUAUGGCUGUUCGCCAUUUAAAGUGGUACGCGAGCUGGGUUUAGAACGUCGUGAGACAGUUCGGUCCCUAUCUGCCGUGGGCGCUGGAGAAUUGAGGGGGGCUGCUCCUAGUACGAGAGGACCGGAGUGGACGCAUCACUGGUGUUCGGGUUGUCAUGCCAAUGGCACUGCCCGGUAGCUAAAUGCGGAAGAGAUAAGUGCUGAAAGCAUCUAAGCACGAAACUUGCCCCGAGAUGAGUUCUCCCUGAGACUUUAAGUCUCCUGAAGGAACGUUGAAGACGACGACGUUGAUAGGCCGGGUGUGUAAGCGCAGCGAUGCGUUGAGCUAACCGGUACUAAUGAACCGUGAGGCUUAACCUUACAACGCCGAAG
Molecule: ribosomal RNA, 2923 nt
Filed under: Klebsiella pneumoniae
Lineage: Bacteria; Pseudomonadati; Pseudomonadota; Gammaproteobacteria; Enterobacterales; Enterobacteriaceae
Description: bacterial LSU rRNA
Rfam family: Bacterial large subunit ribosomal RNA
Source: RNAcentral